RNAcentral lists this ribosomal RNA (252 nucleotides) under uncultured bacterium. RNAcentral describes it as "partial 16S rRNA". It matches the Rfam family "Bacterial small subunit ribosomal RNA", at positions 506 to 757 of the family's 1533-position model. The record is from RNAcentral.
GUCCAUCAGCCGCGGUAAUACGUAGGUGGCAAGCGUUGUCCGGAUUUACUGGGCGUAAAGGAUGUGUAGGCGGAUAUUUAAGUGAGAUGUGAAAUCCCCGGGCUUAACUUGGGGGCUGCAUUUCAAACUGGAUGUCUAGAGUGCAGGAGAGGAAAGCAGAAUUCCUAGUGUAGCGGUGAAAUGCGUAGAGAUUAGGAAGAAUACCAGUGGGGAAGGAGGCUUUCGGGACGGUAACUGACGCUGAGGCAUGAA